UUUAGAGAGUUUGAUCCUGGCUCAGGGUGAACGCUGGCGGUGCGCCUAAUGCAUGCAAGUCGAGCGAACCUGUGACUUCGGUCACACAUAGGUUAGCGGCGGACGGCUGAGUAACACGUGAGUAACUUGCCUUUUGGUGGGGUAUAGCCCAGAGAAAUCUGGAUUAAUCCCGCAUAAGAUCUUAGAACCCUGGUUCUUUGAUGAAAGCCUUCGGGCGCCGAAAGAGAGGCUCGCGGACUAUCAGGUAGUUGGUGGGGUAAUGGCCUACCAAGCCUAAGACGGUUAGCUGGU
This 291-nucleotide ribosomal RNA is filed under the name SAR202 cluster bacterium. RNAcentral describes it as "partial 16S ribosomal RNA". It matches the Rfam family "Bacterial small subunit ribosomal RNA", at positions 1 to 291 of the family's 1533-position model. The record is from RNAcentral. Lineage: Bacteria; Bacillati; Chloroflexota; Dehalococcoidia.